Molecule: ribosomal RNA, 1475 nt
Filed under: Phocaeicola vulgatus
Lineage: Bacteria; Pseudomonadati; Bacteroidota; Bacteroidia; Bacteroidales; Bacteroidaceae
Description: bacterial SSU rRNA
Source: RNAcentral
UUUGAUCCUGGCUCAGGAUGAACGCUAGCUACAGGCUUAACACAUGCAAGUCGAGGGGCAGCAUGGUCUUAGCUUGCUAAGGCCGAUGGCGACCGGCGCACGGGUGAGUAACACGUAUCCAACCUGCCGUCUACUCUUGGACAGCCUUCUGAAAGGAAGAUUAAUACAAGAUGGCAUCAUGAGUCCGCAUGUUCACAUGAUUAAAGGUAUUCCGGUAGACGAUGGGGAUGCGUUCCAUUAGAUAGUAGGCGGGGUAACGGCCCACYCUAGUCUUCGAUGGAUAGGGUUCUGAGAGGAAGUCCCCCACAUUGGAACUGAGACACGGUCCAAAACUCUACGGGAGGCAGCAGUGAGGAAUAUUGGUCAAUGGGCGAGAGCCUGAACCAGCCAAGUAGCGUGAAGGAUGACUGCCCUAUGGGUUGUAAACUUCUUUUAUAAAGGAAUAAAGUCGGGUAUGGAUACCCGUUUGCAUGUACUUUAUGAAUAAGGAUCGGCUAACUCCGUGCCAGCAGCCGCGGUAAUACGGAGGAUCCGAGCGUUAUCCGGAUUUAUUGGGUUUAAAGGGAGCGUAGAUGGAUGUUUAAGUCAGUUGUGAAAGUUUGCGGCUCAACCGUAAAAUUGCAGUUGAUACUGGAUAUCUUGAGUGCAGUUGAGGCAGGCGGAAUUCGUGGUGUAGCGGUGAAAUGCUUAGAUAUCACGAAGAACUCCGAUUGCGAAGGCAGCCUGCUAAGCUGCAACUGACAUUGAGGCUCGAAAGUGUGGGUAUCAAACAGGAUUAGAUACCCUGGUAGUCCACACGGUAAACGAUGAAUACUCGCUGUUUGCGAUAUACGGCAAGCGGCCAAGCGAAAGCGUUAAGUAUUCCACCUGGGGAGUACGCCGGCAACGGUGAAACUCAAAGGAAUUGACGGGGGCCCGCACAAGCGGAGGAACAUGUGGUUUAAUUCGAUGAUACGCGAGGAACCUUACCCGGGCUUAAAUUGCAGAUGAAUUACGGUGAAAGCCGUAAGCCGCAAGGCAUCUGUGAAGGUGCUGCAUGGUUGUCGUCAGCUCGUGCCGUGAGGUGUCGGUUAAGUGCCAUAACGAGCGCAACCCUUGUUGUCAGUUACUAACAGGUUCUGCUGAGGACUCUGACAAGACUGCCAUCGUAAGAUGUGAGGAAGGUGGGGAUGACGUCAAAUCAGCACGGCCCUUACGUCCGGGGCUACACACGUGUUACAAUGGGGGGUACAGAGGGCCGCUACCACGCGAGUGAUGCCAAUCCCAAAAACCUCUCUCAGUUCGGACUGGAGUCUGCAACCCGACUCCACGAAGCUGGAUUCGCUAGUAAUCGCGCAUCAGCCACGGCGCGGUGAAUACGUUCCCGGGCCUUGUACACACCGCCCGUCAAGCCAUGGGAGCCGGGGGGUACCUGAAGUGCGUAACCGCGAGGAGCGCCCUAGGGUAAAACUGGUGACUGGGGCUAAGUCGUAACA